This 300-nucleotide long non-coding RNA is filed under the name Hordeum vulgare. RNAcentral describes it as "long non-coding RNA (HVUL_LNC005379)". The record is from RNAcentral. Lineage: Eukaryota; Viridiplantae; Streptophyta; Magnoliopsida; Poales; Poaceae.
CCAAGCAAAACCUUUAUGACUAGUCUUGGUAAUGGUUGUUUGAUCCUGCUGGAAAAAGACAGAAACCUUUUGCUCACAAGAUGAUUUUUAAUUUUUAUUCAGAAAGAGAUUUUGAGUUGAUUCUUCUUGCUUCUGGUUUAUAUACCUUUUGCCCAGGCCAUCGUAAUUUUUCAGAUUUUUGAGGUACCAAAAGUAUACGAAGUAUACAGAUUGCUACAGACUGGUCUAUUUUUGACAGAUUCUGUUUUUGUUGAGUUGGUUGCUUGUUUUCAUGAAACUAUGGUUAGUAUCGGAGGGGGG